CUGAACACCAGUGUGACACCAGGACUCAACACCAGUGUGACACCAGCACUCAACACCAGUGUGACACCAGCACUUAACACCAGUGUGACACCAGCACUCAACACCAGUGUGACACCAGGUCUUGACACCAGCACUUAACACCAGUGUGACACCAGCACUCAACACCAGUGUGACACCAGGUCUCAACACCAGUGUGACACCAGCACUCAACACCAGUGUGACACCAGGUCUCAACACCAGUGUGACACCAGCACUCAACACCAGUGUGACACCAGGACUCAACACCAGUGUGACAUCAGGUCUUGACACCAGCACUUAACACCAGUGUGACACCAGGACUCAACACCAGCACUUAACACCAGUGUGACACCAGCACUUAACACCAGUGACACCAGGUCUCAACACCAGCACUUAACACCAGUGUGACACCAGCACUUAACACCAGUGACACCAGGUCUCAACACCAG
Molecule: long non-coding RNA, 467 nt
Organism: Haliotis rubra (blacklip abalone)
Lineage: Eukaryota; Metazoa; Mollusca; Gastropoda; Lepetellida; Haliotidae
Exons: 3
Source: RefSeq, a predicted model, not a curated record